Molecule: ribosomal RNA, 1120 nt
Filed under: human gut metagenome
Description: bacterial SSU rRNA
Rfam family: Bacterial small subunit ribosomal RNA
Source: RNAcentral
ACGCCGCGUGCGGGAUGACGGCCUUCGGGUUGUAAACCGCUUUUGACUGGGAGCAAGCCCUUCGGGGUGAGUGUACCUUUCGAAUAAGCACCGGCUAACUACGUGCCAGCAGCCGCGGUAAUACGUAGGGUGCAAGCGUUAUCCGGAAUUAUUGGGCGUAAAGGGCUCGUAGGCGGUUCGUCGCGUCCGGUGUGAAAGUCCAUCGCUUAACGGUGGAUCCGCGCCGGGUACGGGCGGGCUUGAGUGCGGUAGGGGAGACUGGAAUUCCCGGUGUAACGGUGGAAUGUGUAGAUAUCGGGAAGAACACCAAUGGCGAAGGCAGGUCUCUGGGCCGUCACUGACGCUGAGGAGCGAAAGCGUGGGGAGCGAACAGGAUUAGAUACCCUGGUAGUCCACGCCGUAAACGGUGGAUGCUGGAUGUGGGGACCAUUCCACGGUCUCCGUGUCGGAGCCAACGCGUUAAGCAUCCCGCCUGGGGAGUACGGCCGCAAGGCUAAAACUCAAAGAAAUUGACGGGGGCCCGCACAAGCGGCGGAGCAUGCGGAUUAAUUCGAUGCAACGCGAAGAACCUUACCUGGGCUUGACAUGUUCCCGACAGCCGUAGAGAUACGGUCUCCCUUCGGGGCGGGUUCACAGGUGGUGCAUGGUCGUCGUCAGCUCGUGUCGUGAGAUGUUGGGUUAAGUCCCGCAACGAGCGCAACCCUCGCCCUGUGUUGCCAGCACGUCGUGGUGGGAACUCACGGGGGACCGCCGGGGUCAACUCGGAGGAAGGUGGGGAUGACGUCAGAUCAUCAUGCCCCUUACGUCCAGGGCUUCACGCAUGCUACAAUGGCCGGUACAACGGGAUGCGACACCGCGAGGUGGAGCGGAUCCCUUAAAACCGGUCUCAGUUCGGAUUGGAGUCUGCAACCCGACUCCAUGAAGGCGGAGUCGCUAGUAAUCGCGGAUCAGCAACGCCGCGGUGAAUGCGUUCCCGGGCCUUGUACACACCGCCCGUCAAGUCAUGAAAGUGGGUAGCACCCGAAGCCGGUGGCCCAACCUUUUGGGGGGAGCCGUCUAAGGUGAGACUCGUGAUUGGGACUAAGUCGUAACAAGGUAGCCGUACCGGAAGGUGCGGCUG